Molecule: long non-coding RNA, 12961 nt
Organism: Mercurialis annua (annual mercury)
Lineage: Eukaryota; Viridiplantae; Streptophyta; Magnoliopsida; Malpighiales; Euphorbiaceae
Exons: 8
Source: RefSeq, a predicted model, not a curated record
AAUUGCAAUAUAAUGUCCAAAAUACCCUCACCGCAGCUGUUAAUGCUCACACAACACUAUUGUUUCAUCGUCUGAGACAUCAAGCAGAACCUAAGGGUAGCACUGGAAUAACAAAUAGUAUUAACUCGCAGAUUUAGCACUCUGUUCGGUUAAAAACAAAAUAAAGAGGCUUUUGCUCUCAGAGAAGGGGAUGGGUGUUUUUAUAGAGUGGUUGCCUCCCUUCUCUGAACUGUCGCCGGAGCCGGUGAUUUGUAAAUAUCCGCCGAUCUUUUUAAUCAAACAAACCGCUCUAUGUAUGCAUUUGUAUGUAUGUGCAUAUAUAUAUAUAUAUAUAUAUCUAUCUUAAUUGGGCGGAGGGAGUAUUAUUAAAUCUGAGAUGCAUCACCAAUUAGGGAUUCAGCGCUCUGUUCGGUUGAAAAGAAAGAGUCAGAGAAGUGGAUGGGUGUUUUUGUAGAGUGGUUGCUUCCCUUCUCUGAACUGCUGCCGGAGCCAAUGAUUUCGGUAACCGCCCAUCUCUAAUCAGACUUGAAGAGACAUCUGUGGACUUCAUGGCUAGGUAAUCUUUUAUGGCUAUCAUGGAAGUGGUGGUGAUCCCAUUGCUUUCUUGGCCCGCUGUGAAACAAUUGCUGCCUUGAUAACAUAGUGCUUCUUUUCAUUGUCUGGUAUGUUAAGGCAAAUCUGAGCCUCUCUUUACUCUCACUUAUGUUGGAAAUAGAGAGUGGUUCGACUCCUCCUUGAUAGGUAGCGGAAUGACCUCUAUAUAAUCUUCAUGUUUUAUUUUUUAAAUAUACUAUUCAGGGGCUGUGAUGGUAUGCUCUGCGUGCUAUAAUGAGACUUUAAAAACAUUUGCUUGUUUUAAUGGCCGGACAGAUAAUGUUUCUUUUUCACUCUGGAUUGUUAUAUAUAAUUUGGUGAAUACACAUUUGAGCCUCAUUUCCUAACUAAGUUUAAUAUCUCAUUUUGGGAUUUGUUCUUAGAGCGGUAUGGUGGUUGCCUCCGUUUUAUGAACAGUGUGUGAAGCCAUGAAAUUUAGUAGCUAAGGAAUUAGUAUAAAUAUCCACUUUAAUCAGAGGACUACAAAUAGGUAACAGUAAGAUAGGGAUUAAACUUAAGAUAUCAGUACCUCUGUAAAUAAAUAGUGUUAUAUGGGGAGAUGUUUGGUUUAUUUGUUUAAAGAAUGCAGUCUCUCUCUUGGAGAGAGAUGGAAUCAUGGAAAGGGUUCUAAGGGUGGUUGCCUCCCACUCUCUGAUUGCUAGUGGAGCCUAUGAUUUUCCGGUAUACCACCCGUCUGUAUUUUUGUCAAGACAAAAUAUAUGUAUAUGUGCACAAAUUUGGAAGGUACUGGUAAUUUAUCACUUUUGUAUUGCAUAUGAUGGGAGCUAUGAUAAUAUAUACUGUGGCUGAGUGUCUCAUUUAUCAGACUUGAGCGGAUAUAGGUGGUUCUCACUGCAGGUAUUAUAUUUUAUUGGUAAUUUAGAUACAAUGGUUGAUUUCUUUCCCUCUUCAUUUCUUGCACCCGUGAUAUAUUGCAAUACUCUGUUUCUUAGCUGAUUUUUGAGAGAAUACUUGCACAGAUGUAAUGAUUCGAUAGAUUGCUUGUGCUUAUAUAUAUGUUUAUGUAGCAUGUGCUUUUGAUUCAUCAGGUCCCUGCCUCUCUUCUUUGAAUGCCUGUGGAGCCAAUAAUUUAGCAAGUUGUUUUUGUCUUUUAUAUGUGUUUCAUUUCAAUGAUUAGGGUGAACUGAACUACUAUUACUUGAAUCUAUGCUGAUACUUUUAGUGUGCCAAAAUGUUCACUUAUGACGGAUUUAAUUUGAGGUAGGGAAUGGGAAUGAGCAUUAUCAUUGAUUAAAAAUUAAUGAAUGCUAGUUAUAUUGGUUUGUUGGGGAAAUGUAGUGAUUAGUCCUCUUUCUUAUGGACUCCCUCUUUUGCAGCCAUGUCUAAUCUUGUGUAUAUUGUUUGUAUGAUUAAGGCGAAUCUUAGCCGCGUCAUUUUCUUUUUCCAUAGUUUCUUUGUAUACGUUUUGGCAAUCUUUCUGUAGUCAUGUAAAUGGUGGUUUUGCCAUGAGUUUCUUUGAAGCAGGGACCCAAAGAACAAGCUGCUGCUUCAAAUGGCCAAAAGAAAGGAUUAUUUGUGAUAUCUUGGUGGCCUCCAUUACAGCAUCAAGUUUUACAUUGGGAUGAAAACGAAGUUGGAGCUCGCACACAUUUAUUGGAAGUUAUGAUAUUGGUAAUGAUUUAUGCAUCAGAAAUUGAUUGAAGUAGGUGGUGCUGAUUUAUUCUGACAGUUUGCUAGUUAUUGGACUUUUAAUUUAAUUGGAAUGAAUGAUUAUCAAAUUUGUAUUAAUUACAAUGCUUUUUCAUCUAUUAAUGGGUUUUAGUUUGCUGUUUAUAUAAUUCUCGAUUACAUGAAUAAAUAAAAGAUAGUCAUUAUUGAUUACGCAGGCAAGUUUGCCCGCAUGCCUGAGAUCAAUGUUGCUUGAUGUACACACUUAAGAAAACAAUUAACCGAGCUUGUUUGCCUCAGUACCUAGCUCUGGUUAAUAAUUUCAAUUUUACAAACACAACUAGAAAAUUUACCGUAUAAAAUACCCUCAUACUAGGAUGUUUCAUUGCAUAACACUGACCAAACCCAGCACCACAACCCGUACGACACAAAAGUUGACGGGCGGUGUAAUGGGAUCAUUACUUCAUAAUGGUUUUCUUAGCCAGUGGCCUGGUCCCACUCUUCUGUCUUGUCUUUCCUGCCUUUGCGUCGGCCUAUGUGUUAAUAUUUUCUGUCGGGCUGUUCUCACUGCUCGCAUAAGUUUUGGAAGGACUCGCUAGGGGAGAUCAUCACCUCGCUGUUCGGUCCGAAAACGCAUCACUAUUCCUGCUGUCAUUUCAGAUACUUCCUGGGAAUAUUAUAAUUGGAUUGUCGUUUGUUUUUCUGCGGGUUAGAGCGCCGGUGCUGUUGCUUCAUACAUUUAGAGGGAUCUUUGUUAUUCUUGAUUGGAUGCAAGGUGUGGAUUAGUAUGACUUUGCCGGCUAAUGUACAUGCUACGGACAUUGCUUGGGAUUGGUUUGGAAGGAGCCUAGCAGUACAAUCUGUUAAUACUUUUCAAUCAAUCUUUUUGGGUUUUUGAUUCCUCAUUUCUUGCGGGCAUUCGAGAAGUAUUCUCAGGAGAGAGGAAAUUGACUCGAAGAUGGCAGAGGAUAAACGUUCUUCUUUCGCUAACAGAGCUCAAUCGGAAGAUAAGAAAUCUGUUUAGUCGAUUGUGUUUAUCAGGACUUUCAUACAGCUGAAUUUGUGUUUGAGAAGAUGUAUUUGUUCGGAGUGUGUGCAAGUUUUACGUUGAUCUUCAAGUGUUGUGUUGAGUCGAUGUUUCAGAAUUUAGUUCUAUUACAGAUUCUGAUAUUCAUAAGGACAGCUCUUCGCAUUUCUUGAACAAAAUAAAAAAUCUGUUUGCAUAAUUCUUGAUUACACCAUGGAUGACAAAAUCAAAGCAUCCUGCCACUGUCAGCAAAACUACUACAAAGUAGUCAAACAGAGAUCCAUGUGUUCACUAUAAAUUCACGCAUGAUGUACACGUGUAUGGAUGAAAACAAUAUUGGCGGGUUAAUUAUUUUUAUUUACAUAAUUACCCUUCAGUAUUUCCACUUCUAGAAACACAAUUAGAGAUAUACUGUCUAAAUACCCAUACUCAGUUCAGUUGUUUGAUUGUCUGGGACAUGAAGCAAAGUCUAAGGGUAAUACUGGAAUAACAAAAUAGUAUAAAAUCAUAGCUGCACCUGCAGCUAGCAAUUUAGCACUGUGUUUAGUAAGAAAGAAAGAGGCUUUGCUCUCAGAGAAGGAAUGGGUUGCCUCCCUUCUCUGAACCGUUGCCGGAGCCGAUGAUUUCUAAACAUCCGCCGAUCUCUGUAAAACUUCUCUCUCUCUCUCUCUCUCUAUAUAUAUAUAUAUAUAUAUAUAUAUAUAUAUAUGUAUCUAUGUGCCCUUGUCUCUUGUAAGCUCUUAAUGAUUCUAGCUGCUUUAUUAUGAAGAGGCUUUGCUCUCAGAGAAGUAGAUGGGUGUUCUUGUAGAGUGGUUGCCUCUCUUCUCUGAACUGUUGCCGGAGCUGAUGAUUUCUAAACAUCCGUCAAUCUCUUUAAACGAAGAAACCACUCUUCCUGUGCACAUACACAUACAUAUAUCUGUCUGCCUGUCCCUCAAUUUAUAUCUUUCUCUGCUGCUGCUUAUACUGAAACCCCAUAAACAUAAAGAGGCUGUGAUGAUAUGAAUUCAUUUGUUUUUAGAGUGAAACUAUCAGAUGUUGAAAUUAAUGCUUUGGCUGUUUUGGCAGGGUAAUCUUGAGCUCUCUUCUUGCAGAGAGCUUCUUGAUUGCAGCCCCAGCCUUUGUGUUCUUUUUAAGGUGCAUUUGAUCUGAGCCUCUCCUUUGCUAUUUGUUCACAUUCUUUCAACUUGAUUUGUGGUGAUUAUUAAACUGUUUGCGGCAAGAGGGAGAGAUUUGGAUAAAAUUGUCUAAUUGCUUUAAGAAUGAGGCUUUGCUCUCAGAGAGAGAUGGGAAGGGUUCCAAGGGUGGUUGACUUCUCCUCUCUGAUAGAUAGCGAAGCUGAUGAUUUCAUUUUGUGUCAUAACUUCCCAACAACCCUUUCAAAGAACAAGAAAGAAAAAGAAAAAGAAAAAUAAGUGAUGUAAAUGACAUUAGAAAACUAAAUCUCUCCCUCAGCAAGGCUAUGAUGAUAUGCUGUUUGUGACUUGAAGAAAAUUCCAUUGUCAUGAUGGCUUGCUAAUCCGUUUCUUGGCCUUCCUCGAAAGGAUUUCAGCUGUGAUUACAGUGUUUCUUUUUGAAGUUUCAUAUGCAAAGGCAAAUCUGAGUCUCCUCCUCAUUUUUAUCAAACAAGCCGAGAAAGGUAUGUUAAUGCCUUCAUACUAAAGGCACUAUUGAUAUUUCGGGGAGUUCUUCUGUCAUUAGUUUAAGAAUGAGGCUUUGCUCUUAGAGAUGGGAUUGGUUUCUAAGGGUGGUUGACUCCCAAUCUCUGAUAGUUCGCGAAGCUGAUGAUUUCAUUUUUCCCAUUCAUAUUACCAACAACCCUUUCACAGAAUAAACAAACAAACCAAACAAUAAGCAAAUAAAUAAAUUAUGAUUACAUGAGCAGCUAGUGAUUUAGCACUCUCUUUGGUAAAAAGAGAAGAAGGUUUGCUCUUAGAGAACGGGAUGGGUGUUCUUGGACAGUGGUUUCCUCCCUUCUCUGAACCGUUGCCGGAACCGAUGACUUCAUAACAUCCGCCAUUCUUUUUAAAUGAAAAAACUGCUCUACAUAUGCAUUUUUAUGGGACUGAGGGAGUAUAUAAAAUCUGAGAUACUUCGGCAAUUAGGUAUUCAGCACUCUGUAUGGUUAGAAAGAAAGAGGUUUGGCUCUCACAGAAGUGGACGGGUGUUCUUUUCGGGUGGUUGCCUUGCUUCUCUGAACUGUUGCUGGACUGAUGAUUUCUAAUCAUCUGCCGAUCUUUUAAAAGGAAGAAAUCACUCUACUUGUGAACAUGUUCAAAAAUGACCUUAAUGUUUGACAUCGCAUUUUUGUAAAACCUUAAUGAUUUUUUAGCUGUUUAUAUGAAGAGGCUGUGAUGAUAUGUACUCGUUGCUUUUCAGAGUGCACAUAUUAGAUGUUGAAAAUAAUGCUUUUGGCUGUUUUGGCAGGGUAAUCUAGAGCUUCUUUGUUAUAGAGAGCUUCUUGAUUGCAGCCACUGCCUUUUCUGCUCUUAUUUUUCAUGUCUUAUUGUUUAAUAAUGCGGAUUUGAUCGGAGCCUCCUUCGAUUUAUUUCGAACAAUGGAUCAUUUUACCCUUCAACUUGUCACUGAAGAUCAACAAUCCGAAGAGUGCACAAAUCAGAUGCUGAAAAUAAUGCUUUUGGUUGUUUGACAGGGUAGUCUAGAGAUUCUCUCUUGCAGAGAGCUUCUUGAUUGCAGCCACAGCCUUUUGUGUUCUUUUUCUUUUCAUGUCUGAUUAUUUAAGACGGAUUUAAUCCUGGCCUCCAUCAUUUUCUUUCUCUUUUCUGGUUUUUAGUUAUCGGUGCUUUAUUGGUGGUGGUGGUGGUGAUUGUAUGGGGCAAGCGGGAGAGUUUUGGAUAAAAUGUCGUCUGAUUGCUUUACAAAUGAGGCUUUGCUCUCAGAGAGAUGAGAAGGGUUCUAAGGGUGGUUGACUUCUCCUCUCUGAUAGACUUCAAAGCUGAUGAUUUCAUUAUCUCAAGGAGAGAUUUGAUAUGCUUCCAACAACCCUUUCAAAGAAGAAAAAAAGAGAGAAAAGAAGAAGAAGAAGAAGAAGAAGAAGAAAAAUGAUAUAUAUGACAUUAAUCUCUCCCUCGUCAAGGCUGUGAUGACAUGCUAUUUGUUACUUGAAAAGAAAAUCCAUUGUUGUUAUGGCUUGCUAAUCUUUUCGCGGCCAUGGAGAUGGUGUUCUGACCAUCUGUUUCCUGGCCUCCUCGAAAGGAUUGCAGCUGUGAUAACAUUGUUUCUUUUCGAAGUCUCAUAUGCAAAGGCAAAUCUGAGUCUCCUUCUCAUAGACAAAGGCACCAAUUGAUAUUUUGGGAAGUUCUUCUAUCAUUAUUUAAGAAUGAAGCUUUGCUCUUAGAGUUGGGAAAGAUUUUUAAGGGUGGUUGACUUCCAAUCUCUGAUAGUUAGCGAAGCUGAUGAUUUUCAUUUCUCUCGUUCACAUUAACAACAACCCUUUCAGGGAACAAGCAAACAAAUAAAUUCCUCUUUUUUCUAAGAAUGAGGGUUUGCUCUCAGUGAGAGAGAGAGAGAGAGAGAGAGAGCACCUGUUGUUAAAUUUGACUUGCAGUCUCUGAGUACUAAGACGUGUUUCUACUCUCUCUCUCUCUCUGAAUGAUUGCGGAGCCGAUGAUUUAUGUUCGGGAAAAGGUUCGAAUUGAGGAUGUGAUUCUUCUAUCUACAUAUUUUUUGUUCAUUCAAUAAUUAUAAUAAUAAUAAUAAUAAUAAUAAUAAUAAUAAUAAUAAUAAUGGUGAUGGUGGUGGUGAUGAUGACGACGACGAUGAGAUAAUGCCGGUUGGGGAGUUGUUGCAGCGGGCGAAAGAGAGAGAUUAAGAAUUGAGGCUUUGCUCUUAGAGGGAGAUGAGAAGGGUUUCAAGGGCGGUUGACUUCUUCUCUCUGAUAGUAGCGAAGCUGAUGAUUUUCACUAUCUUAGAAUGAGAUGGGUAGGUUAAUCAACAGCCCUUCUAUAGAGAGAAAACAUUGAAAGAAAUUAUAUAUAAUAAUGUCAAAAUCCAUCUCACUCUCUCUCUCUCUGGUUUGUUAGGGCUAUGAUGAUAAGUUGUGUUUGGAUAUUAGAUUAGAAGGAAAUAGAUUGUUAUCAUGGCGUGGUAUUCUUUUUCCAAAGAAUUGCAGCCUGAUAAUACAGUUUCCUUUUAGGCCUAAUAUACAAUGCUAAAUCCGAGCCUCCUCAAUUCUCUCAACAAAACAUUCCUCAAAGUAAAAGAAUGAGGCUUUGCUCUCGGAGAAGUGGAUGGGUUUUCUGGUAGGGAUCAUGUCCACCUUCUCUGAAUGGCUGCAGAUGAUUUCAAAGUCCCCCUGCUUGUUUAAUGAACCAAUUCAUCAAAUGGGCUCUUCUAUAAAUGGGCAUGCAUGCUUGACUUUUCUUUAUCAUUGAGGAGGGAUUGAACCCACGACCUUACUAGAAUUUUGCUCAGCGCACGUACCAUUUGAGCAUGUAGGUGCUCACAAUCCAGUGAAAUGGUGCUUCAACAAAGAGAACCACUCUUCAUGACCUCUGUGAGAAGGAGGGGUAAAGUCCACGGUAAUAACUCGCUGUUUUGUGCACAAAAAUCUAGCUGUCUUUCGCUCGGUGGGUGGCGGGCAAUAACAGCCGAGGGACUUAAAUGAGCUGAAAUAUACAAGCUGUGGGUGUUUGUGUUUGUUUUAGUUGAAAAUGACUUUUUGAAUAUUUUGUGCCAAGUUGAGGGGGUGAAUUGAUCCUUUGUUGAUAAAUAAAGCGUUCCAGAGACCGGGAGAUUCUGGCAUUUCAUUAGUUUAAGUAUGAGGCUUUGCUCUCAGAGAGAUAGGAUAAAGGUCUUAAGGAUUGCUAACUCCCACUCUCUGAUUGCUAGCGGAGCCUAUGAUUCAACCCAAAGAAAAAGUAAAAUGUUUAUUAUGAUAGGGGCUAUGAUGAUGCAUUAUUGUCUCAAAAUCAAGCAUGAAAAGGAACUACCGGUAUCAUGACGGCGGGGUAAUCUUUUGGCGGCAGGUACAGUGAGAUUGUUUAUUUUUGCUCUUCUGAUAUUCUGGCCAGCAGCCUUGAAGUUUUGCAGCCGCCUGAUACGGUAUUGUUUCUUCUUGACUGGUUUUCAAGACAAUAUUUCUGAGCCUUCUAUGUUCAAAUUCAUCUAUCUAUCUAUCUAUGGCGGAAUACUUCUAUUCACCUCUAUAUUUGAUCUCUUACACCUCAGUGACGCAUGGAGUACACGCGUCACCGAGGGAACCACCAGCUGCUUCCGCUUCAAUGACCAAAUAACCUCUCUGUGUCAGUCACCUCCAAUUUCCAAAGAAAGUUGCGAAUCGACUGAAGUGUGCUGAAAUGAGGGGAGUUUUUAUACUCUCUCUGAAUGAUUGUGAAGCCCCUUCGUUUAUGUUGGGGAAAAAGUUCAAAUUCAGGAUGUCAUCAUCCUAUCUGCAUUUGUUUUGCUCAAUCAAUCAAUAAUAAUGAUGAUGAUGAUAUGCCGGUGGGUGGUUGCUGCAGCGGGAGAAAGAGAGAUAUUAAGAAUUGAGGGUUUGCUCUCAGAGGGAUAUGAGAAAGGGUUUCAAGGGCGGUUGACUUCUCCUCUCUGAUUGGCAGCGAACCCGAUGAUUUUCAUUAUCUUAGAAAGAGACGGGUAGGUUAAUUAACAGCCCUUCUAUAGAGAGAAAACAUUGAGAGAAAUUAAUUAAUGUCAAAACCCAUCUCUCUUUCUCUCUGCUACUGCUAGGGCUAUGAUGAUAAGUUUUGUUUGGAUAUUAGGUUUCAAGGAAAUCGAUUGUUAUCAUGGCGUGCUAUCCUUUUUUUUCUUUUGAAAGAAUUGCAGCCUGAUAGCACAGUUUCCUUUCUACUCUAAUAUAUUAUGCUAAAUCUGAGCCUCCUCAAUUCUCUCAACAAAACAAUGAGGCUUUGCUCUCAGAGAAGUGGAUGACUUUUCUGGCAGGGAUCAUGCCGACCUUCUCUUGAUAAUGCGCAUAUAUAUACAUGUUUGCUGGUUAUUAAUUAAGGUGAUAGUAAUGAUUAAUGAAGAUUCAUUACAUUUCCAUUUUAUCUGCUGCUUUACUCUUCCGAUAACAAAUCAGUGAUAGAAGAGAUAGAUUGGCUAAUGUAUCUCCUGCCAAAUGUGAAAAUGGACCAAGUCAUGAUACCCUUCUUUUAUUCUGGACAUAGUUCAAAAUACAUUCUAAUACAUCUUUGUUACAACUCACAGGUGCUCACAAUCCAGUGCAACAAAGAGAACCACUCUUCUUGAUCUCUGUGAGAAGGAGGGGUAGAGUCCAUCGGAAUUACUCGCUGGUUUAUGCACAAAAAUCUAAGCUGACUUUCGCUCUGGUGGGGGUGGUGGGCAAUAACAGCUGAGGGACUUCAAUGAGCUGAAAUAUACAAGUUGUGGGUGUUUGUGUUUGUUUUAGUUGAAAAUGACUUUUUUGAUAUUGCGUGCCAAAUUGAGGGGGUGAAUUGAUCCUUUGUUCAUAAGUUCCACAGGCCGGGAGAUUCUGGCAUCUCAUUAGUUAAGUAUGAGGCUUUGCUCUCAGAGAGAUUGGAUAAGGGUCAUAAGGAUUGCUGACUCCCACUCUCUGAUUGCUAGUGGAGCCUAUGAUUCAACCCAAAGAAAAAGUAAAAUGUUUACUAUGAUAGGGGCUAUGAUGAUGCAUCAAGUGUCUCAAAAUCAAGCAUGAAAAGGAACUACCGUUAUCAUGGCGGAUGGGCAAUCUGUUGGCGGCAGGUACAGUGAGAUGGUUGAAUUUUGCUCUUCUAAUUUUCUGGCCAGCAGCCUUGAAGAUUUGCAGUCGCCUGAUACAGUAUUGUUUCUUCUUGCCUGGUUUUCAAGACAAUAUUUCUGAGCCUUCUAUGUUCAAAUUCAUCUAUCUAUCUAUGUUCAAAUCCAUAAUAGUAAUGGUGAUGGUGAUGAUGAUGACAACGACGAUGAUGAUAAUGCCAGUGGCUGGACUAGCAGCAACACGGAGUUGCAGCGGGAGAAAGAGAGAUUAAGAAUUGAGGCUUUGCUCUCAUUGGGAGAUGAGAAGGGUUUUAAGGGCGGUUGACUUCUUCUCUCUGAUUGGCAGCGAAGCUGAUGGUUUUCAUUAUCUUAGAAAGAGAUGGGGCUAUGAUGAUGAUAAGUUGUGUUUGGAUAUCAGAUUUGAAGGAAAUAGAUUGUUAUUAGGGCGUGGUAUUCUUUUUCCAAAGAAUUGCAGCCUGAUUAUACAGUUUUCUUUCUAGUCUAAUAUACAAGGCUAAAUCCAAGCCGCCUCAAUUCUGUCAACAAACUAAAAUUACACAAAGCAAAAGAAUGAGGCUUUGCUCUAAGAGAAGUGGAUUGGUUUUCCAGUAGGGUGGUUGCCGAUUAACCGAGUUCAUUAUUAUUAGAAGUUUAGUAUGAGCACAACUCGCUGGAAAAAUUUCUCGUCAUAUUAUUGAAGCUACCCUCAAAGUAUUUGCUAAGGCUCUUAGACAAGCAACAGAAUAUGACCCAUCGUCUUGGGACUGCACCUGGGUGGCAAGGUGCUCACAAUCCAGCGGAAAUGGUAGAUUAAUAAGGGAACCAUUCUUCAUGAUCUCUAUGCACAAAAAUCCAAGUUGCCUUUUGCUCAGUGCCUGGUGGGCAAAUUACAGCUGAGCAUUUUAAACGAGCUGAAAUAUACACAAGCUGUGGGUGUUUGUGUCUGUUUUUGUUGAAAAUGACAUUUUCUUAUUUUUCGUUCCAAGUUGAAGGGGUGAAUUGAUCCUUUGUUCACAAAUAAAUAGUUACACAGAUUGAGAUUCUGGCAUCUCAUCAGUUUAAGUAUGAGGCUUUGCUUUUAGAGGGUAGGAUAAGGGUUUUAAGGAUCGCUGACUCCCACUCUCUGAUUGCUAGCGGAGCCUAUGAUUCAACUUAAAGAAAAAGUAAAUUUUUUUAUUAUGAUAGGGGCUAUGAUGAUGCAUCAAGUGUCUCAAAAUCAAGCUUGAAAAGGAACUACAGUCAUCAUGGCGGCGGGGCAAUCUUUUGGUGGCAGGUACAGUGAGAUGGGUGAUUUUUGCUCUUCUGAUUUCCCGGCCAGCAGCCUUGAAGAUCUGCAGCCGCUUGAUACGGUGUUGUUUCUUCUUCUUUUCUGAUUUUCUGGACAGUAUUCUGAGCUUUCUAUCUCCAGAUCCAUCUAUCUAUCUAUCUAUUGAAGAAUACUUCUAUUUGGUUGACUUUUUUUUGGGUGGGACUUGGGUGUGCUAGACCAAAAGUUGUAGUGCAACAAUGGAGACACUUGUAAUUGGCUCCCCUCCAAAAAAAAAAAUAUUAAAAUGAUCCAGAUAUCAGAUAUUAAAUUGAUAAGAACUGAUACUACACUUGAUCUUAGCCAAAAGGCCGAGAAAGGUACAGCUGAGAUUGAUAUCUUUUAUCUUCACUACCAAGCUGAGGGGGUGCACUGAUCCUUUGUUCAAAUGCACAAACACUUUCUUUAGUAACACAUUAAAAAGAAAGAUAAAGCAAGAAAUGAGCGGAAACUAAAUUAAAUGAGGCUUUGCUCUCAGAUAAAGAGAGAAUAAGUGCGGGUAAUUUUCACCUGCAGUCCUUGAGUUCUAAGAUGUGUAUCUACUCUCUCUCUCUGAAUGAUUGUGGAGCCGGUGAUUUUAUGGUUGUCCUUUCUGUUUCCUCGUCAAGUUUAAGAAUUGAGGUUUUGCUCUCAGAGGGGGAUGCGAAGGGUUUCAAGGGCGGUUGACUUCUUCUCUUUGAUUUGCAGCGAAGCUGAUGAUUUUCAUUAUCUUAGAAAGAGAUGGGUAUGUUAAUCAACAGCCCUUUUAUAGAAAGCAAUCAUCAAAGCAACUACAUAUAUACAUACAUGAUAAUGUCAAAACCUAUCUCACUCGCUCUUUCUCUGAUCUGCUACGGCUAUGAUGAUAAUUUGUGUUUGGAUAUCAGAUUUGAAGGAAAUAGAUUGGUGUCGUGGCGUGGUAUUCUUUUCAAAGAAUUGCAGCCUGAUACCAUAGUUUUCUCUCUUGUCUAAUAUUCAAGGAUAAAUCUGAGCCGCCUUUCUGUAGAAGAAAUCAUACAUAAAAUCAAAACCCAUCUCACUCUUUUUUUCUCUGGUAGGGCUAUGAUUAUAAGUUUGUUUGGAUAUUUGAUAUGAAGGAAAUAGGUUGUUAUCAUGGCGUGGUAUUCUUUUUUGAAAGAAUUGCAGCCUGAUAACACAGUUUUCUUUCUAGCCUAAUAUACAGGGGUAAACCUGAGCCUCAGUUCUGUCAAAAUAAGUUUUCCAAAGCAAAAGACUGAGGCUUUGCUCUCGGAGAAGUUGAUGAGUCUUCUGGAAUGGUGGUUGCUGACCCUUAUCUGAUUGGCUGUGGAGCUGAUGAUUUUAAAAUUGCCCUGCUCUUUCAAUAAACCGAUUCAUCAAUAAAUGGCUCUUGGUGGUGAUGUUAAAUUUUGCUUCAUUGUGUCAAGAAGGAGGCUCUGGCUUCAUAGCAAGAUGGGAAGGGUGGUUACCUGUUCUUGCUGUAUAGUUAAGGGGUCAAAUUGGCACUUAACCCUUCAUAGAUUUAAAGGUUAAUCCGAGUCUCCUAUCUCUGUUCUUUAGCUACAUUUCUCAUUUUUAAGUUCUUUCCUAUUUAUUUAUCAAGUCUAUUUCUAUGAUCAAGUAAAUUAGUCAUCCAAGCUUUUGUUUGGGUUAAUAUGUUUUUAUUAUUUGAUUAUUGUCCAAUUAUAAUGUUACAAUUUUGAUAGUUGAAGAAGUCUGCCAAUGACUAUCAAUAGCUUUCAACUUUGAUA